UGAGGAAUAUUGGUCAAUGGGCGUGAGCCUGAACCAGCCAAGUCGCGUGAGGGAAGACUGCCUUAUGGGUUGUAAACCUCUUUUGUCGGGGAGCAAAGCUGCCACGUGUGGCGGUUUGAGAGUACCCGAAGAAAAAGCAUCGGCUAACUCCGUGCCAGCAGCCGCGGUAAUACGGAGGAUGCGAGCGUUAUCCGGAUUUAUUGGGUUUAAAGGGUGCGUAGGCGGACGAUCAAGUCAGCGGUCAAAUGUCGGGGCUUAACCCCGGCCUGCCGUUGAAACUGGUUGUCUUGAGUGAGCGAGAGGUAUGCGGAAUGCGUGGUGUAGCGGUGAAAUGCAUAGAUAUCACGCAGAACCCCGAUUGCGAAGGCAGCAUACCGGUGCUCAACUGACGCUGAUGCACGAAAGCGUGGGGAUCAAACAGGAUUAGAUACCC
Molecule: ribosomal RNA, 433 nt
Filed under: uncultured bacterium
Lineage: Bacteria
Description: bacterial SSU rRNA
Rfam family: Bacterial small subunit ribosomal RNA
Source: RNAcentral